UUGGAGGGCAAGUCUGGUGCCAGCAGCCGCGGUAAUUCCAGCUCCAAUAGCGUAUAUUAAAGUUGUUGCAGUUAAAAAGCUCGUAGUUGAAUUUCGGGAUUCGUCGGUUGGUCGGGCUUCACUGUCCGCACUGACCUGACGGGUUCCUACCUUCUGAAUAACCAGCAUGCUAUUAAGUUAGUGCGUUGGGGAAGCAGAGCUAUUACCUUGAAAAAAUUAGAGUGCUUAAAGCAGGCUUGUGCUUGAAUAGGUUAGCAUGGAAUAAUAAAAUAGGACGGCAUGGUUCUAUUUUGUUGGUUUCUAGGAUCACCGUAAUGAUUAAUAGGGAUAGUUGGGGGCAUUAGUAUUCAAUUGUCAGAGGUGAAAUUCUUGGAUUUAUUGAAGACUAACUUCUGCGAAAGCAUUUGCCAAGGAUGUUUUCAUUAAUCAAGAACGAAAGUUAGGGGAUCGAAGACGAUCAGAUACCGUNGUAGUCUUAACCAUAAACUAUGCCGACUAGGGAUCGGACGAUGUUAAUUUUUUAAUGACUCGUUCGGCGCCUUACGGGAAAC
Molecule: ribosomal RNA, 551 nt
Filed under: uncultured Acaulospora
Lineage: Eukaryota; Fungi; Glomeromycota; Glomeromycetes; Diversisporales; Acaulosporaceae
Description: SSU rRNA
Rfam family: Eukaryotic small subunit ribosomal RNA
Source: RNAcentral